AUUGAACGCUGGCGGCAGGCCUAACACAUGCAAGUCGAACGGUAGCACAGGAGAGCUUGCUCUCUGGGUGACGAGUGGCGGACGGGUGAGCAAUGCAUGGGGAGCUGCCCAAUCGAGGGGGAUACCAGCUGGAAACGGCUGCUAAUACCGCAUACGCCCUGAGGGGAAAGGUGGGGACCUUCGGGCCUACCGCGAUUGGAUGCACCCAUGUGGGAUUAGCUAGUUGGUGAGGUAACGGCUCACCAAGGCGACGAUCUCUAGCUGGUCUGAGAGGAUGACCAGCCACACUGGAACUGAGACACGGUCCAGACUCCUACGGGAGGCAGCAGUGGGGAAUAUUGCACAAUGGGGGAAGCCUGACCCAGCAACGCCGCGUGGAGGAAGACGGCCUCGGUUGUAACUCCUUUACGGGGAAGAGGAAGGACGGUACCCGACGAAUAAGUACACGGCUAACUACGUGCCAGCAGCCGCGGUAAU
This 477-nucleotide ribosomal RNA is filed under the name uncultured bacterium. Its description in RNAcentral is "bacterial SSU rRNA". It matches the Rfam family "Bacterial small subunit ribosomal RNA", at positions 29 to 524 of the family's 1533-position model. The record is from RNAcentral.